GAUGAACGCUGGCGGCGUGCCUAAUACAUGCAAGUCGAGCGAACAGACGAGGAGCUUGCUCCUCUGACUUUAGCGGCGGACGGGUGAGUAACACGUGGAUAACCUACCUAUAAGACUGGGAUACCUUCGGGAAACCGGAGCUAAUACCGGAUAAUAUAUUGAACCGCAUGGUUCAAUAGUGAAAUACGGUUUUGCUGUCACUUAUAGAUGGAUCCGCGCCGCAUUAGCUAGUUGGUAAGGUAACGGCUUACCAAGGCAACGAUGCGUAGCCGACCUGAGAGGCUGAUCGGCCACACUGGAACUGAGACACGGUCCAGACUCCUACGGGAGGCAGCAGUAGGGAAUCUUCCGCAAUGGGCGAAAGCCUGACGGAGCAACGCAGCGUGAGUGAUGAAGGUCUUCGGAUCGUAAAACUCUGUUAUUAGGGAAGAACAAAUGUGUAAGUAACUAUGCACGUCUUGACGGUACCUAAUCAGAAAGCCACGGCUAACUACGUG
Molecule: ribosomal RNA, 497 nt
Filed under: uncultured bacterium
Lineage: Bacteria
Description: partial 16S ribosomal RNA
Rfam family: Bacterial small subunit ribosomal RNA
Source: RNAcentral